CGCAUCAAGGAGCGUUGCGACAGAUCGUUCGAUCUGCCAGGCUUGAUGCGGUCAGUAAUAGCAACUGCGCUCACGUUUC
Herminiimonas arsenicoxydans is the source of this 79-nucleotide non-coding RNA. NCBI's taxonomy places the organism in Bacteria, Pseudomonadati, Pseudomonadota, Betaproteobacteria, Burkholderiales, Oxalobacteraceae. The record is from Rfam.